UCAUGGAUCUCUUGGUGGGUCAAGUUUAGGAAUAUACCAACCUGGAGGACUCCAAGCUGU
RNAcentral lists this microRNA precursor (60 nucleotides) under Monodelphis domestica (gray short-tailed opossum). RNAcentral describes it as "Mdo-Mir-490_pre stem-loop". Lineage: Eukaryota; Metazoa; Chordata; Mammalia; Didelphimorphia; Didelphidae. The record is from RNAcentral.